Molecule: ribosomal RNA, 613 nt
Filed under: uncultured bacterium
Lineage: Bacteria
Description: bacterial SSU rRNA
Rfam family: Bacterial small subunit ribosomal RNA
Source: RNAcentral
GAGGGGCAGCAUGUCUUAGCUUGCUAAGGCGAUGGCGACCGGCGCACGGGUGAGUAACGCGUAUCCACCUGCCUUACACUCUUGGAUAGCCUUCUGAAAGGGAGAUUAAUACAAGAUGUUUAAGCAUUCAUAAAGGUUUCCGGUGUAAGAUGGGGAUGCGUUCCAUUAGAUAGUAGGCGGGGUAACGGCCCACCUAGUCUUCGAUGGAUAGGGGUUCUGAGAGGAAGGUCCCCCACAUUGGAACUGAGACACGGUCCAAACUCUACGGGAGGCAGCAGUGAGGAAUAUUGGUCAAUGGACGAGAGUCUGAACCAGCCAAGUAGCGUGAAGGAUGAAGGUUUAUGGAUUGUAAACUUCUUUUAUACGGGAAUAACGAAUCCACGCGUGGAUUUUUGCAUGUACCGUAUGAAUAAGGAUCGGCUAACUCCGUGCCAGCAGCCGCGGUAAUACGGAGGAUCCGAGCGUUAUCCGGAUUUAUUGGGUUUAAAGGGAGCGUAGAUGGGUUGUUAAGUCAGUUGUGAAAGUUUGCGGCUCAACCGUAAAAUUGCAAUUGAUACUGGCAGUCUUGAGUACAGUUGAGGUAGGCGGAAUUCGUGGUGUAGCGGUGAAAUGC